Molecule: small RNA, 165 nt
Filed under: Arsenophonus endosymbiont of Trialeurodes vaporariorum
Lineage: Bacteria; Pseudomonadati; Pseudomonadota; Gammaproteobacteria; Enterobacterales; Morganellaceae
Description: GlmY_tke1
Rfam family: Glm Y RNA activator of glmS mRNA
About the family: This family consists of a number of bacterial RNA genes of around 167 bases in length. The function of this RNA is unknown.
Source: RNAcentral
AGUCGCUGAUUCAACUUUUUAUGUUGGUCCCAAUAUAGAGAGAUGCACACCACAUAAGCCAGGAAUGAUGCCAAAAGUCAGGUGUCUGCCGUCCAGCAGCAUGAUAUUUGCUUAUAAACAAGCUUUAUCAAACAUCGGGCGACACGUGGAGUGAGGCACCAUCUA